This 90-nucleotide transfer RNA is filed under the name compost metagenome. RNAcentral describes it as "tRNA-Ile". The record is from RNAcentral.
CGGAGCUGUAGCCCGGUGCGGCGGCGCCGUUGAUUUCGGCGGUGAUGAAGCCGUUGUAGUGCAUCACCCGGUCCGGGCCCGAAGUGCUGC